Molecule: non-coding RNA, 55 nt
Organism: Salmo salar (Atlantic salmon)
Lineage: Eukaryota; Metazoa; Chordata; Actinopteri; Salmoniformes; Salmonidae
Source: Rfam
UGAAUACACUACCUGUAAGUCGCUCUGGAUAAGAGCAUCUGCUAAAUGACUAAAA